This is a long non-coding RNA of Clupea harengus (Atlantic herring), 1624 nucleotides long. The record is from Ensembl. NCBI's taxonomy places the organism in Eukaryota, Metazoa, Chordata, Actinopteri, Clupeiformes, Clupeidae.
CAAUAAUCGAUUCCAGAAACAUGGAUUCAGCCUCCGAAAGUAAACAUAUAGGAAAGCUUCUCCGAGGGGAACUCACAAGAGAUGUUUUGGGAAACACGGGUGGAAAAGAGUGAGAGAUCUACGACUGAUCGUGUUCGGGUUGAGCCCCGGUGAAAGGAAGAGAGGAGAGGAGAGGAGAGGAGUGGUGCGGCGCGGCGCGGCGGAGGCCUGGCUGAGAGGCCCGGCGUCGGCUCCUCGGGUCAUCGCAGAGGCGUCUCCGAGCAGAUAUGCAAACGAUCUCCGUCUCCUCGUGGCGACCCUUGGCAGACCGCACCCAUCCCUACCAUAAGUGCUCUCCACCACCCCCCAUCACAGGCACGGACCACUUCUGCCCACCACCCCACCCAAAGCAACUAACAGAGGACAAUCAAUACUUCAUGCACAGCCAUGACCGGGGGAAUGUUGGCCGUCCCAGACUGGAAUGGCAGAGGAGGAAGGACAGUAUCACCACUCCGUCAUGCGACACAUCAAAUUAAUAUCCUUAAAAGAGGUCGGGAUCGAUUAGGUGUCAUCUUCCAACGGCACCGGUGAUUUGCACCCCUCAUGCACCGGGCAGAGAGAGAGAGAGAGCUUGUAAAAAUUCCUCCACAUUGGAGAGUUUGUCAGCAUCGGACAGAUGCACUUUAUCAACCACUUUUCAUUCUUCAGCAACAGAAGGGGCUCUUGGGAUUUAUUUAGUCAAAUGUGAGGUUAAAACCGAAGAGCCGCUGGCAAAUAACAUUCUCAUAAUGGCUGUAUUUUGCUUCACUGUGCGGGUUAUGUCCAAAUGCAAAAUAAAAUAUUUUCUUCGACACGCGUUUCAACUUGGGUAAAUGGUUUAAAGUAGCACUUUCAUUCUAGUCCAUGAUUAUUUUGUUGUUUUUUUUUUGCAUGCUUUAAAUGACUAUGUGUCAUAGGUUAAUUAUAUCUUUCAAAAGCCCAAACCUCAAGUCUGAAUAAUACAAAAACUUUUGACAGUCUGGAAAUCAGACAGACAACAUUUAGAGAGUACCAUCAGGUAGAAGGGCUCACAUUAACCCCUUGAUCACACACACAUAAAACAUAAUGAGCUCCUUCUCCAGUGGAGAGUUUGCAAAAGCAUGUACUUCACACAAUGGGAGAACAAAACACAAGCUGAAAAAAAUAAAGCUGUAGAAGGGGGGAAAAAGAAAUACCACAAACCGGUUUAAGGGAUGAAAGAUAUUCAUAAGACUGCUGUUCAAAAUAAACUAUUAUAAUGACCAAUUAUUUGGACCAUUUAGCCACCUCUUGCAACCCAAGACUUUGUGGUUUUAGUUUCUUUUGCAAAUACAUAAUUCACAUAACAAAGUUCACGCUGCAAAACACAUAUUUCCACAGUAAAUCUCAAAAGUGGAGAUUAUAAAUGUGGUUUAUGCGGAAUAAUAAACAUUUGUUGGUUUUGAGUAACCGUCCCAGUGUACCGCAUUUCUUGGCCGAGCUCGCGGAGUCGAAAGGGAACAAAACAAGCUUAGAGUAGCAAAGAGCAGCAGGCUGGGCUGAGGGCAAAGAGCAGCAGGCUGGGGUGAGGGUUUCCUGGGGAAGGCCCUGCUGAUGGCCCCCGUGCCUCUCUGCCCUUGUCCUGUCC